AGCUUUGCGCAGUGGCAGUAUCAUAGCCAAUGGGGUUUAUCCGAGGCACAAUUAUUGCUAAUUGAAACAAAUAGGGAGCAUUUUAAAAGGAGAAGCCCCAGUAUGCAAACACCUUUCAAUGUUGCUUGCCUAACAGUUCUAACUG
Molecule: small nuclear RNA, 145 nt
Organism: Ailuropoda melanoleuca (giant panda)
Lineage: Eukaryota; Metazoa; Chordata; Mammalia; Carnivora; Ursidae
Gene: U4
Rfam family: U4 spliceosomal RNA
About the family: U4 small nuclear RNA (U4 snRNA) is a component of the major U2-dependent spliceosome. The structure of U4 snRNA from yeast and human has been reported.
Source: Ensembl